ACAGGGAUUGCCCUAGUAACGGCGAGUGAAGCGGCAUCAGCUCAAAUUUGAAAUCUGGCUCUUUCAGGGUCCGAGUUGUAAUUUGCAGAGGGCGCUUUGGCGUUGGCAGCGGUCCAAGUUCCUUGGAACAGGACGUCACAGAGGGUGAGAAUCCCGUACGUGGUCGCUGGCCUUCACCGUGUAAAGCCCCUUCGACGAGUCGAGUUGUUUGGGAAUGCAGCUCUAAAUGGGAGGUAAAUUUCUUCUAAAGCUAAAUACUGGCCAGAGACCGAUAGCGCACAAGUAGAGUGAUCGAAAGAUGAAAAGCACUUUGGAAAGAGAGUCAAAUAGCACGUGAAAUUGUUGAAAGGGAAGCGCUUGCAGCCAGACUUGCCUGUAGUUGCUCAUCCGGGUUUUUACCCGGUGCAUUCUUCUGUAGGCAGGCCAGCAUCAGUUUGGGCGGUUGGAUAAAGGUCUCUGUCACGUACCUCCUCUCGGGGAGGCCUUAUAGGGGAGACGACAUGCAACCAGCCUGGACUGAGGUCCGCGCAUCUGCUAGGAUGCUGGCGUAAUGGCUGUAAGCGGCCCGUCUUGAAACACGGACCAAGGAGUCUAACAUCUAUGCGAGUGUUUGGGUGUCAAGCCCGAGCGCGUAAUGAAAGUGAACGGAGGUGGGAUCCCUUAAGGGUGCACCAUCGACCGAUCCUGAUGUCUUCGGAUGGAUUUGAGUAAGAGCAUGGCUGUUGGGACCCGAAAGAUGGUGAACUAUGCUUGAAUAGGGUGAAGCCAGAGGAAACUCUGGUGGAGGCUCGCAGCGGUUCUGACGUGCAAAUCGAUCGUCAAAUUUGGGCAUAGGGGCGAAAGACUAAUCGAAC
RNAcentral lists this ribosomal RNA (854 nucleotides) under Setophaeosphaeria citricola. RNAcentral describes it as "partial 28S ribosomal RNA". It matches the Rfam family "Eukaryotic large subunit ribosomal RNA", at positions 68 to 940 of the family's 3401-position model. Lineage: Eukaryota; Fungi; Ascomycota; Dothideomycetes; Pleosporales; Phaeosphaeriaceae. The record is from RNAcentral.